CCCUUAGAUGUUCUGGGCAGCACGCGCGCUACAAUGGUCUUCGCAAACGGAUGCAUUCUCGAAGGAGAAUGCCAAUCUUGGAAUCUAUGCCUUGGUCGGGACAGUUGCUUGCAAUUUUUCGACUCGAACCAGGAAUUCCUUGUAAUCGUGAUUCAUCACAUCACGAUGAAUACGUCCCUGCCCUUUGUACACACCGCCCGUCGCUCCUACCGAUCGAAGAGUUAGGAGAAUUGUUUUGAUCGAUAAGAUUUGACUAUGGUCAACUCUCGUUGUGAAAUUCUGUGAAUCUGACUGUUUAGAGGAAGGAAAAGUCGUAACA
Molecule: ribosomal RNA, 319 nt
Filed under: uncultured eukaryote
Lineage: Eukaryota
Description: partial 18S ribosomal RNA
Rfam family: Eukaryotic small subunit ribosomal RNA
Source: RNAcentral